RNAcentral lists this long non-coding RNA (302 nucleotides) under Jatropha curcas. Its description in RNAcentral is "long non-coding RNA (JCUR_LNC003103)". Lineage: Eukaryota; Viridiplantae; Streptophyta; Magnoliopsida; Malpighiales; Euphorbiaceae. The record is from RNAcentral.
GUAACUUGUCUUCAUCCCCCAAGAAAUCUCCCAAUACCUUACGAGCUCCAUCAAGCAUCCCUAUUCCACCAUGUCCACCUCCAUUUAUGCCAGGAAAUAGUAGCUCCACCAAAGGCCCACCUCCUCCACCAUGCCCACCUCCAUUUUUGCUAGGAAAUAGUAGCUCUGCCAAAGGCUCACCUCCUCUACCAUGCCCACCUCCAUUUCUACAAGCAACUAAUAGUUCUGCCAAAGGACCACCUCCUCCACCACCUCCAUUUAUAAAAGGAAAUAGUAGCUCUACCACAGGUCCACCUCCUCCG